RNAcentral lists this ribosomal RNA (391 nucleotides) under uncultured bacterium. Its description in RNAcentral is "bacterial SSU rRNA". It matches the Rfam family "Bacterial small subunit ribosomal RNA", at positions 28 to 421 of the family's 1533-position model. The record is from RNAcentral.
AUUGAACGCUGGCGGCAUGCUUUACACAUGCAAGUCGAGCGGCAGCGCGGGGCAACCCUGGCGGCGAGCGGCGAACGGGUGAGUAAUACAUCGGAACGUGUCCCGUAGUGGGGAGUAGCCCGGCGAAAGCCGGAUUAAUACCGCAUAUGCUCUACGGAGGAAAGUGGGGGACUCGCAAGGGCCUCACGCUAUGGGAGCGGCCGAUGUCCGAUUAGCUUGUUGGCGGGGUAAUGGCCCACCAAGGCGACGAUCGGUAGCUGGUCUGAGAGGAUGAUCAGCCACACUGGGACUGAGACACGGCCCAGACUCCUACGGGAGGCAGCAGUGGGGAAUUUUGGACAAUGGGGAAACCCUGAUCCAGCCAUGCCGCGUGCGGGAAGAAGGCCUGGUG